Spodoptera frugiperda (fall armyworm) is the source of this 706-nucleotide long non-coding RNA. RefSeq lists it as uncharacterized. The transcript is spliced from 2 exons. NCBI's taxonomy places the organism in Eukaryota, Metazoa, Arthropoda, Insecta, Lepidoptera, Noctuidae. The record is from RefSeq and is a predicted model, not a curated record.
GAGACAGGCGUGAGGUUGUGUAUGAAUGUAUGUAAUUUUAUAAAAGUUAUACAUUCACUUUUAUAGAAAUAAUGUUAUGUACACAUUACAAAAUACAUACAUCAUAUUCUACUUAUGCCACGAUCAUCUACUUGGUUGUAAUGUAGAGGCAUACAAUAAUGUAAAGUUAACAUGACCUUCAAGUGCUGCAUGAAAAAGAAAUAAAAGUUGUGGGUAGGUUUAUUACGUUGCAAUCAAUAAAUGUAUCAACUAACUACAUACACUAUUUCUUAACAGCGAAAUCAUCGCAUUAUUUCGUUUAGGUGAAAAACAUUAACAAAAAACAAAAAUGACAGAUUUUUCAUUGUGGUUCCUGGUUAUCGCCAAUGUUUUAACAGCAUUUUUAUUAUUAAUGAUUGGAUUAAGUGUAAUUCCAUGGUGUGCUCGUCAAUUUACCAGUACAGUACAUACUACCAACUCUUGGAACCACAUACAGACGAUAGCAGCGCAUGACAGCCUCACCACCUCACUCCCGCCACUACCACCUUACUUUUUUGGAAGUGAAGUUAAGUUUGUAGAAUCUGUUUAAGAAAAAAUGUAUGUUUGCUUUGAAUUUACUUGUGUACAAAUUGUUAAUUCGAAUUUAUGUUUAAAAAUUAUAUUUUAUCUCUAUUUGUUUAGAAUGGACAUUCAAAUGUUAAUUUAAUAAAAUACUUUUAUAUUUGUA